CCCGGCUCCCCUCCCCGCUCCCCUCUCCCCCGGACCCGUCUGCCGCCGAGCCCAUCUGUUCGCCUGGAGAAGGCGAGGUUUAUUUUCUUCCCCCUGAACUAUAAAUAGACUUUUCAGCACCACUCCUGCUGCCAGCUCUGCGUCUGCACAUCCCCAUUUCCAUAAUUACCGCCGCGAAUCCCUAAUCCCGGCAGGAGCUGCGCAGGUUGGAGCAGCGGAGCCGGCUCCUAAACGGGCGUAAUUUGGGUUUUUAGUGAAGUGACAAAUCUGCAGGCGAAUCGCAGCGGCCAGCCGGGAACCUCCCGGAAUUCUCAGCCCCGAUUGCUCCGGAGCGCGGCGGUGACAAGUGAGGCACCCCGAAUCCCAUCGGGAUGCGGCCCCAGCCGCGUUCCCCAGCGCCCGGCUGGGAUGCCUGGGAGAAACGUGCUGCAAUCACCGUCGCUUUGAUUCCCGACAGAAGAAAGGAGCCAGCUGAGGGCUCCCGUGGCUGCUCCAGCAGCUCUGACAGCGAAUUCUCCUGCCUGGUGUCGUCGUUGUGGAAGGAAGCUGUAACUCUGCCCUGGAUGCGCUGCAGCUCCGGGAUGCUUCGGGAGCAGCCGGCCUUAGGAACCGGGCCCGGCACGCUGCACGCCUUCAUUUUGGGAAGGAGCUGCCUGGGCCAGGCUCCUCCCCGCGGCUCCCGACCCCACACGGUCACUUUUUGUCCUUUUGUCCCCCGGUUGCUGCGGCAGAGCCGUGGGGCAGCGGGAGGAAGGAGCCCGCAGGCCGGGGAUGCCGUUCCCCAGGAAAAGUCUCUUUUUGGGUAUUUCCAGCGCGAUGCUGCUGACCCGCAGACGCCUUGUUGGCCGCAGCUCCCAGACCUGUCAUCUUCCCACCUGCUCCCGUUUAAUCCUGCUCAGGGGGGAGCGUUCCAAGCCACCCCUCGCUCUCCUCCGCCAGCCCUUUAAUCUCGGCGAGGAGGGGAUUUUUCCUUUCCCUCUGACACGCCUGCCUCCCCUGUGAAAUGCAAAUUAAUUAGAUUCUAAUUACUC
RNAcentral lists this long non-coding RNA (1031 nucleotides) under Chloebia gouldiae (Gouldian finch). RNAcentral describes it as "Erythrura gouldiae (Gouldian finch) lncRNA (ENSEGOG00005008373.1)". Lineage: Eukaryota; Metazoa; Chordata; Aves; Passeriformes; Passeridae. The record is from RNAcentral.